RNAcentral lists this ribosomal RNA (786 nucleotides) under uncultured Bacteroidota bacterium. Its description in RNAcentral is "bacterial SSU rRNA". It matches the Rfam family "Bacterial small subunit ribosomal RNA", at positions 71 to 852 of the family's 1533-position model. The record is from RNAcentral. Lineage: Bacteria; Pseudomonadati; Bacteroidota.
CAUUGAAGCUUGCUUCGAUGGGCGUCGACCGGCGCACGGGUGAGUAACGCGUAUCCAACCUGCCUCUGACUAAGGGAUAACCCGGCGAAAGUCGGACUAAUACCUUAUGAGGUUUUCUGCAGACAUCUAACGAAAACGAAAGAUUUAUCGGUCAGCGAUGGGGAUGCGUCUGAUUAGCUUGUUGGCGGGGUAACGGCCCACCAAGGCAACGAUCAGUAGGGGUUCUGAGAGGAAGGUCCCCCACAUUGGAACUGAGACACGGUCCAAACUCCUACGGGAGGCUGCAGUGAGGAAUAUUGGUCAAUGGGCGAGAGCCUGAACCAGCCAAGUAGCGUGCAGGAUGACGGCCCUAUGGGCUGUAAACUGCUUUUAUGUGGGGAUAAAGUGAGCUACGUGUAGUUUAUUGCAGGUACCACAUGAAUAAGGACCGGCUAAUUCCGUGCCAGCAGCCGCGGUAAUACGGAAGGUCCAGGCGUUAUCCGGAUUUAUUGGGUUUAAAGGGAGCGUAGGCCGUGGAUUAAGCGCGUUGUGAAAUGUAGACGCUCAACGUCUGAAUUGCAGCGCGAACUGGUUCACUUGAGUAUGCACAACGUAGGCGGAAUUCGUCGUGUAGCGGUGAAAUGCUUAGAUAUGACGAAGAACUCCGAUUGCGAAGGCAGCUUACGGGAGCACAACUGACGCUGAAGCUCGAAGGUGCGGGUAUCAAACAGGAUUAGAUACCCUGGUAGUCCGCACAGUAAACGAUGGAUGCCCGUUGUUAGUUCACUUAUGAAUUAGCGACCAAGC